This 253-nucleotide ribosomal RNA is filed under the name uncultured bacterium. RNAcentral describes it as "partial 16S ribosomal RNA". It matches the Rfam family "Bacterial small subunit ribosomal RNA", at positions 524 to 776 of the family's 1533-position model. The record is from RNAcentral.
UACGUAGGGUGCGAGCGUUGUCCGGAAUUAUUGGGCGUAAAGAGCUCGUAGGCGGCUUGUCGCGUCGGAUGUGAAAGCCCGGGGCUUAACCCCGGGUCUGCAUUCGAUACGGGCAGGCUAGAGUGUGGUAGGGGAGACUGGAAUUCCUGGUGUAGCGGUGAAAUGCGCAGAUAUCAGGAGGAACACCGGUGGCGAAGGCGGGUCUCUGGGCCGUAACUGACGCUGAGGAGCGAAAGCGUGGGGAGCGAACAGG